Molecule: RNA transcript, 6104 nt
Organism: Sardina pilchardus (European sardine)
Lineage: Eukaryota; Metazoa; Chordata; Actinopteri; Clupeiformes; Clupeidae
Gene name: complement factor H-like
Exons: 11
Source: RefSeq, a predicted model, not a curated record
AGCUCUAAACCAACUUGGGCGAGGUAGCCUAUUUAAUGUUUGCAGACUAUCAGACCAACAAUGAAUCUGCUACGCGGCACAGCUAAAAUUAUGAAAAACAUGAAUCAGAAUUUUAGACAGGGCGUGGAACAGCUUGGGGAGAGAAGCAUGCUGCAGUCACUGAUAACACUGGGUCUUUUUUUUCUUCGUAUAGUUAAAGCAGCGGAAUGCCCAAUUCCAUUGGACCUUGGACAGAGCGUUAUUUUGUCAAGUGAGGCAGUUCUACGGAAUGAAUUCUCAGAGGGAUCCCAAAUCACACUGGAGUGCGACAACGGAUAUGUUCGACGGGAAGGAUCCCAAACAAUUACCUGUAUGAGCGGCAACUGGACUGAAGUGAAGUUGAUAUGUAAAAGGAAAGAUUGUGGACCCCCCAAAGUGAUUCCACAUCUGACAUUUAUAUAUAAGAAUGGAGAGAAUGCUACAUAUUUUAGGGAUCGAAUAACAGCAGUUUGUGAGCAGGGUUUCCAGCUUGUGGGAUCAAGUCACUGGCAGUGUCUAAACCAUGGAUGGAAAGGGAAGUCAACCUGUUUAGAGAUUGUGUGUGGUGAGGCUCAGCUGGACACUUUACCUGUUCUGGAAAAUGGACGUAUCGUCAAUGCUCCUCUUCACGAAGAACACAUUAAGAUGGGUGACUCCAUUCAGUAUAGCUGUAAUGAUGACUACCAUCUCACUGGAAAUGAUACCAUCACAUGCACUGAGAAUGGCUACAGCGAGCUGCCCAAAUGUGAAAGACAGAGAUUUCAGCAUCCAAGCAAGACACCCAUGAAAGAGCAAAUUGAGUCAUCAGUUUCUGUGUCAACUGGAGCCAUCAUAGGUGCCCUUGCAGUGUCUGUACUUGUCAUUGUCUUUGGUCUUAUAUGGCAUUAUGCAAAGAACAAAGGGUGUUCUGUUGGGUUGAGGUCAGGACCCUGUGCAGGCCAGUCAAGUUCAUCUACACAAGGUCCACAAAGGCAAGGAUGAACCCAUCGUUUCCCAUUGUGGAAAGACUUCCCAGAAGAGUUGAAGCUGUUAUAGCUACAAGGAGUGGACCAACGUCAUACCAGAGAAUGUCUAAUAAGGGGAGAACGACCACUCGCUGAAUACUUCCGCAUGGUACUGCAACUAGAGGGCGAUCGCGAGCAAGUGGAGAAUGAAUGGAGUUCUUAUGAAACACAAGAGGAGAGACACAAGAUGGGUGAUGUCACUGAAAGAAAGUUGGACUCCCUCCAAGUUGUGAGGUGAACCAUUACCAGUCAUCAGCCAUCUUUAUGCCUGGCCCUCAUCACACCUGAAGUCCCAUCCCCCUGAGUGCCAUUGCCAUCAUCAUCCCUAUGACUGCCCUACCAUUACCUGCUGUGGUUCCCUGCCAGGACCCCCGGCCCACGCAUCCCAGCGACCCAUUACCCUCCAAAAUUACUAAUGGAUUGCUGAUGGACUAUUUAUUCCCUAUACUGGACUGUUUGAACCUUCUGAUACUACAAAUGACUUUACUCUACUUAACUGACCCUAGGCAGAUGGGUUGGGCCCUUGAGUUGUGGAUCUGUCUGAGGUUUCUUCCUAUAUGUAUCUCCAAUUCUAGGGAGUUUUUCCUUGCCCCUGUUGCUCAUGGGCUCUCUUUGAAGGUUUAACAAUCUGUAAAGCGCCAUGAGAAUGUCUAUACAGAACUGCUUUCACUUCCCCGAGUCGCGAACGCAACAUGCACAACAAUAUACCGAUAUUUAGCAAACACAUGUAUUUCCAGCUCUCAAAACCGAUGAGGUCCAGAUCUCAGUGGCCUCAUAGCUGCCUACAGCCAUGCAUAGUAAGCCUAAUGAUAGCCUAAUAGUUAUGACAUUAAUAGCCUAUUAAUGACCUCAUGUCGGAAUGGCACGUUGUUUGAAAAAAAAAAAAAAAAUACCGCCGAUUGGGGAUAUGUCAGAAUGAACAGCAGAUACCAGCUUUGAAAACUCUGCAACUGCAAUCUGACAUGCCGAGCGUCUGUUCAAUACGGAAGAAGACAUUAACAUAUUACUUUGCCUAUAUAUUUCUUAUAACGAAACGUGAAGAAAAAAUACGAGGACUGACCAUUUCGUUUCUCCGCGUUUCCCCAAUACCAUGGCGACAAAGAUAAAUAAAUAUGAUUUGACAUUUAAGCUGAUUGUCAAAUUUGCCAAACACAAUUCGUGAGAAGCAGCGGACAGGAGCGCCACCACAAGCAAGCACUUCUAGCCCAAAUUAACAUGGCAACGUUGCCUAUGACUAAAGUGUAUAAGUAGGCUAGUCCUACUAAUAUUACAUUUGAUUGGUAGCAUGUUUGUAUCGCGCCAGUUUAUCCAUCCCCUACAUCAAAACAGCUUAGAAUCAAUCAAAGAAUCAGCUGUGUCGGCUUUAGGCAGGCGAUUUUCUGUAACCAUUUUUAUUCAUUUCAACAAUGGUUUAUUGAAACGUCGUUUGAUUAAUUUCGCCAGUCAUCACCUUCAUUUUAAUGAUUAAAUGAGAUUAAGGAGUCGACAAUUGACGGAUAUGCGGUCUUCAUCAUUAAAUGCAGUUGAAAUGCGGGUUGAAACUUUCUGCCACCUGGUGGUUGUUUGGGUACAUUGCCUUAGCCUCGAAAAAAAUCGGCUUGACAGCCUGCGGGAUCUCUUCGGGAGUUCCGCGGGAAAAGGUGCAUUCUCUUUCUAAAUGUGAACAAGUACAACAUAUUUUACAAGAAUAAAAUGUGGAUUUCCUAGCAAUGUCAGAAACAUGGUUAAAUGCAAACUCGCCACAUACGGCUAUAAAUGUGCCUGGUUUUACAUUUUUUAGGAAUGAUAGUAAACAUGGAAAAGGUGGGGGAGUUAUGUGUUACGUAAAGGACACAAUUAGAUGUAAUGUAAUCAAAGACAUGGCAUGUGAACUAGAAUGUCUGGGUUUAAAUAUUGUACUCUCGCCAGAAAUGUCAUUAACCUUAAUUGUAAUCUACCGUCCGCCCUCAUCAAAUGUCGGUUUCUAUGACCAAUUUAGAGAAAUGUUGCAAUAGUGUGACUUCAAUAGAGAGGUGAUAGCUACCUGCUAAGGUAGCUGAGGAAGGCACCCUUAAGUGUAUUUAUCAAGCGGAGCAACCAGAAUGACCAAUUCCUCUAGUACACAGAUUGAUCUACUUUUUAAAUAAACCUGAAAGAAUAAUAAAAUCGUAUAACUUUGACUGGACUCUGAUCAUAAUCUUAUACUAAUGGCUAGAAAGUAAAUGGAAAGAAAGGCUCUGUUUCUGCGCAGAGCAUGGAUUAUAUGAAAAUGCCAAAGAAUAAAAAGGAAGAUUUUAAAAAUUAUGAAAUCAGAUAAUCUGGACUACCCAGUAUUUUGUGGAUAAACUGCAAACUUAUCAAAGACUUUAAAAAAAAUGUCUAGAAAUAAAAACAAAAGGGCUUCCCUCCCGUGGAUAAAUGAAAGUACUUCAAAUGAUGAAAGAACGAGAUCAUAUCCUAAGAGCAUCACUGAAGUCUAAAUUGACAACUGGCAGGCUUAAAUUUACAUCCAUAAUGAAUAAGGUUGCAAAAGAACUUAGAAAAGCCAAGGCAAAUUACUUCCUUGAAAUAAUAGUAAGUAAUAAGGGAAACUCUAAAAUGACAUGGCAGCAAAUAAAGAAACUAUCUGGACAAAACAAUGCUAGAAAACAGAUCGAACUGAGGAUUAAUGACACACUAACAAAUGAGGCAAUAGAUAGCUGAAGCAUUAAAUCAUUAUUCUGUAGAUUCGGUAGCUACUAUUGCCAACAGUUUUUCCUUGCUCCAGCAAUAUGAUAUCAAAGAACCUUUACCAGGAUCCAUUUUUAAUUUUGAAAGAGUCUCUGAAGCGCAAGUAUUAAAAGUGAUUGAUUCACUCAAACCUAAAUCUUCAAAAGAUGUUUAUGAAAUGGACUCUGCUAUGAUCAGGGAGUGUGCAGGCUCAUUGAUUAAACCAAUCACGUAUAUUGUAAAUAUCUCUGACUCAAGGUCGAGGGAGCCUCCCCCAAUAUUGGAAGCCUGCAGCUGUCGUUGGACAACUGUUUCUUUUAUUGAAAGAGUUAAGUCUUUAUUAGACACAGGGAGUGUAGUUGGGGCGAUAUUUCUGGAUUUAAGAAAAGCAUUUGAUACAGUUAAUCAUAAUAUUCUUCAGUCAAAAUUUGUUCAACUUGAUUUUUCUCAGUAUACAUCUAACUGGUUUAAAUAUCUUACUUAACCACUCUCAAUGUGUUAAAAUACAAAAUACAAGAUCCUCCUUUAAAGAUCUUGUAACAUGAGUACCCCAAGGUUCAAUUUUGGGCCCAAUUCUUUUCAGUCUUUAUAUAAAUGACCUUCCAUCUGUGUGCCAAGGCAGUGAGAUCCUUAUAUAUGCAGAUGAUACUGUCAUUUUUAUUAAAGGUAAAAAUCAUUCUGAGGUUGCAGUACAGCUUGGAAGUUAUGAUUAAUGUUUCAAAUUGGUUGAAUAACUGUCAUUUACAACUUAACACUUCUAAAACUGUUGCCAUGUUCUUUGCUAAAACAAAAAAAAAAAAUAUACAGAGCCUGAUGUUUUUAUUUCAGGGCAGAUAAUUCCAAAUUGUAAAUAAAUAUAAAUAUUUAGGAAUUAUUUUGGAAAUGCAGUAACCUGACUUCCAAGCAACAUGUUGAGAAGGAUCACAAACUUUACACUUCAAAAUUGUAGGCAUCUUAGAAAUUAUAUGUCAACAGAGGCUGCAAAAACAUACAUGGUCUCUCUCAUAAUGUCACAUAUCAACUACUGUCUACAAACAGGGGCCACUGCAAACUUCAUGACAUUAAAGCUGUUAAAAUCCUUAUAUAAACAAGCUGUCAAGAUUUUAGAUAAAAAAACAAGAUCUUUUCAUCACUGUCUAAUACUUAACAAAUAUAGGCUUCUAAGUUGGAAUGUUAUGUUUAGAAAUUGUUGUCUUACACUGUAUAUAAAAUCUGAAACAGCUUAGCUCCACCACCACACCAUCUACUGCAAUUUAGAUCUUCUGUAACCAGUGUUACUAGAGGGGCUGCUAGAGGUGAUUGUGCAGUGCCUUACAAGAAAACAACCUUUGGACAGUCAGUUUUUCCUUAUAAAGCAGCUGGUGAGUGGAAUGCAAUCCCACAAAACAUAAGAGAGUCCAGUUCUUAUAGUUCAUUUAAAAUAAUAAUAAUAAAAAUGGCUGAUAGACAACCAAGUCUGUCAGCAUUAGUGUAUGAGAUUAGAAGAGUAGUGUUGGAGUGUGUGUGUGUGUGUGUGUGUGUGUAAAAUAACAUGCAACAGGAAACAUCCAAUCGAAAAUAUUUUUUAUUAUUAUUAUUCACCAAUUAACCAAGACAGCAAUGACUUGUCGAGUCAUUGCAUGCAAGUCAAGUCUCAAGUCAUGAGUAGCAAGUCCAAGUAAAGUCUUUUCUCACUGUUGAUCAAGCAAGUCACAAGUCCUCAAUCUGGCGAUUUAAGUCUGACUCCAGUCAAGCCACUAGACUCGAGUCCCCCAUCUCUGGUGUGUAAGGGUAUAAGAAGUGAAUUCAACUACCGAGAUUUGGACAGUUAUUAUCUACACCUACCUGUAAGGAUCGGGUAGACUCUAUUCGGUCCAUUUGUCACAUUGCAGAGUGGUUCAGAACAAUACAUGAGCUGAACUGAAUAUCAUUAGCAGCAUGUGGCUGCACAAUAGGUUUUUUUUUAACCUUCUUUUCAUUUCCAUUUGUAAGAUGGACUCAGAAUUUAAAUUAUCUGACUAUUUGUAAAAAAUGAUAUCUUAACCCUCUAACCGCCCGGGUUUUUUUGGAUUUUUGCAUAAAAAAUUCAAAAGGCCAUGGCUUAAAAGUGGUCAGAGAUAAAGUCCUACUGUAAAUGUGAAAAUCAUUGAGUAUGAACUAAAGUUUAUAAAGGGAGUAAAUUUACUCAUCUAAUUUGCAUAUUAUGACGUCACAGAUUGGCAAUAGCGUCAAAUUAUGCACAUUUCAGUAAAUACUGAUUGUUGAACACAUUUGAGCAGUUUUACUUUGAUUUUUGUAAUUUCUCCGACAUAACAAACAAACAGGACCACAGCCACAUGUAAACCAACAAUAGUAAACUAUUAGUAUUACCACAAUCCCUAUGUUACUAUAUAAUAAAGUAGCCUGGUCAAAUCA